CAAGAGUUAUUUUAAUUAAAAUAUUGAUUUUGGGGAUCAAUGAUGGAAGUAUUUUUCUACUCUUGA
This 66-nucleotide transfer RNA is filed under the name Oedaleus manjius. RNAcentral's name for it is "tRNA-Pro". RNAcentral also lists the same sequence under 1 other name. Lineage: Eukaryota; Metazoa; Arthropoda; Insecta; Orthoptera; Acrididae. The record is from RNAcentral.